GUUAACGCUGGCGGCAGGCCUAACACAUGCAAGUCGAGCGAGAGGCGGACGGGUGAGUAAUGUCUGGGAAACUGCCCGAGGGCGGGGGAUAACUACUGGAAACGGUAGCUAAUACCGCAUACCAUCGGAUGUGCACAGAUGGGAUUAUCUAUUGGGGGGGGUAACGGCUCACCUGGGCGCCGAUCCCUAGCUGGUCUGAGAGGAUGACCAGCCACACUGGAACUGAGACACGGUCCAGACUCCUACGGGAGGCAGCAGUGGUGAAUAUUGCAGAAUGGGCGCAAGCCUGAUGCAGCCAUGCCGCGUGUAUGAAGAAGGCCUUCGGGUUGUAAAGUACUUUCAGCGAGGAGGCGUUACUCUCAGAAGAAGCACCGGCUAACUCCGUGCCAGCAGCCGCGGUAAUUC
Molecule: ribosomal RNA, 405 nt
Filed under: uncultured bacterium
Lineage: Bacteria
Description: partial 16S ribosomal RNA
Rfam family: Bacterial small subunit ribosomal RNA
Source: RNAcentral